RNAcentral lists this ribosomal RNA (443 nucleotides) under uncultured bacterium. RNAcentral's name for it is "partial 16S ribosomal RNA". It matches the Rfam family "Bacterial small subunit ribosomal RNA", at positions 338 to 795 of the family's 1533-position model. The record is from RNAcentral.
CCUACGGGAGGCAGCAGUGGGGAAUAUUGGACAAUGGGGGGAACCCUGAUCCAGCGACGCCGCGUGAGUGAAGAAGUAUUUCGGUAUGUAAAGCUCUAUCAGCAGGGAAGAAAGAAAUGACGGUACCUGACUAAGAAGCACCGGCUAAUUACGUGCAAGCAGCCGCGGUAAUACGAAGGGGGCAAGCGUUAUCCGGAUUUACGGGGUGUAAAGGGAGGGUAGACGGGGUUACAAGUCAGAAGUGAAAGGCGGGGGCGCAACCCCGGGACUGCUCUUGGAACUGCGUGGCUGGAGUGCAGGAGAGGCAGACGGAAUUCCUGGUGUAGCGGUGAAAUGCGUAGAUAUCAGGAGGAACACCGGUGGCGAAGGCGGCCUGCUGGACUGCAACUGACGUUGAGGCCCGAAAGCGUGGGGAGCAAACAGGAUUAGAUACCCUGGUAGUC